GCCCAUGUAGCUCAGAUGGCAGAGCGCCGCAUUCGUAACGCGGAGCGCGUCCGUUCGAUCCGGACCUUGGGCACCA
RNAcentral lists this transfer RNA (76 nucleotides) under Nevskiaceae bacterium. Its description in RNAcentral is "tRNA-Thr". It matches the Rfam family "tRNA". From Rfam's summary of the family: Transfer RNA (tRNA) molecules are approximately 80 nucleotides in length. Their secondary structure includes four short double-helical elements and three loops (D, anti-codon, and T loops). The record is from RNAcentral. Lineage: Bacteria; Pseudomonadati; Pseudomonadota; Gammaproteobacteria; Nevskiales; Nevskiaceae.